GGAUGUGGGGGUGAUCUGGCUGGCGGGGCGGGUGUCCUCUUCUUCCCUCACCACUCCAUGUGAGUCUGUCCUGAAACUGCAUGUUCUGUCAAAGAGGACAAACUUCCCCAAAUAGAGAUGGAUUGGUCUUUGGUCGAGGGUCUAUGUACGUACGAGUAGCUGCUCUCACCUGCUAGAAUGUCCAAACAAGAUCUCAAGGUCCCUUCAGAUGGAGAUACAGGAGGAGAGACACCCAGCUACCAGGACUUCCUUUGGUGCCAUGUGGUACCAGGA
This 273-nucleotide small nuclear RNA is filed under the name Erinaceus europaeus (western European hedgehog). Its description in RNAcentral is "7SK RNA". It matches the Rfam family "7SK RNA". From Rfam's summary of the family: 7SK was discovered as an abundant small nuclear RNA in the mid-70s but a possible function has only recently been suggested. Two independent studies have found that 7SK RNA binds the CDK9/cyclin T complex (known as elongation factor P-TEFb). P-TEFb activates transcription by phosphorylating the C-terminal domain of RNA polymerase II. The record is from Rfam by way of RNAcentral. Lineage: Eukaryota; Metazoa; Chordata; Mammalia; Eulipotyphla; Erinaceidae.